ACAUCACCAUACCACCCUGAACAAAAUUGAUUUCAUCUGAUUUGGAAGCUAAGCAGGGUUAGGCCUGGUGAAAACCUACAUGGGAGACCACCAGGGAAUACUGAGGUCAGAUUUC
This 115-nucleotide ribosomal RNA is filed under the name Pogona vitticeps (central bearded dragon). Lineage: Eukaryota; Metazoa; Chordata; Lepidosauria; Squamata; Agamidae. The record is from RNAcentral.